CAGAUGUGUAUAAGAGACAGGUGAAUCAUCGAAUCUUUGAACGCACAUUGCGCCCCUUGGUAUUCCGGGGGGCAUGCCUGUUCGAGCGUCAUUUCAACCCUCAAGCUCUGCUUGGUCUUGGGCCGCGUCGGCAACGGCGGGCCUCAAAAACAGUGGCGGCGCCAUCGUGUUCCUCAGCGUAGUAAUUCUUCUCGCUGUUGGGCCCCGGUGGCCGCUGGCCAGCAACCCCUAACUUUCUAUGGUUGACCUCGGAUCAGGUAGGGAUACCCGCUGAACUUAAGCAUAUCAAUAAGCGGAGGA
RNAcentral lists this unclassified non-coding RNA (300 nucleotides) under uncultured Helotiales. RNAcentral describes it as "sequence contains 5.8S rRNA gene, ITS2". The stretch from base 1 to 91 matches the Rfam family "5.8S ribosomal RNA", at positions 58 to 154 of the family's 154-position model. The record is from RNAcentral. Lineage: Eukaryota; Fungi; Ascomycota; Leotiomycetes; Helotiales.